RNAcentral lists this transfer RNA (66 nucleotides) under Amphimerus sp. JM-2019. RNAcentral's name for it is "tRNA-Val". Lineage: Eukaryota; Metazoa; Platyhelminthes; Trematoda; Opisthorchiida; Opisthorchiidae. The record is from RNAcentral.
GAUAAGGUAGUUUAAUUUGAGAGCGUCUAUUUUACACGUAGGAGGUGGAUUUGUAUCCUAUUGUCA